CCAUGUCUGUCUGCCCGUCCGUCUGUCCAUCCGUCUUAUUGAGCGCCUGGAUCUCAGAGACCAUAAGAGCUAGAGCCACCAAAUUUUGCAUCCAGACUUCUGUAUGCUCACACUGUCACAAGUGUAUUUCAAAAAUGAGCCCCGCCUCCUUCCGCCCCCGCAAAAGGGCGAAAACCUCCAAAAACUACAAUUUUAAAGGGAAUGACCAUAUCUAUCAGUUGACGAAAUUGGGAUCCGAUGGGAUCAAUAUUAUAGCCACAAUGAAGAAAUUAAUUUGCAGUGACUAAACCCACCCCGUCCCGCAGCUUAUAUUUGUUUUUGGCACAUUCUCUCAUUCACACUCUGCUUCGCGCAGUGUGUGGCGGCCUCUGCCUCUGCCGCAAGUCUGCAGUGUGUGGGACCAGAGAAGGGGGGCGAGCUAAAGGAGCGUGUUGGUGUGAGAAGUUUUGUAGCUGUAGAUGCCACAUGAAGAAAAAAUGUAAAAUUUGACAAAAACCGCUAAGGUGCAGAAGUAGAACUGGGUGGCGGGUAUAAAAGUUGUGACGCGUAAGAAGCGUUUCACACGUCCCUUCUCGUUUUUUUUAGGAAAACAAACACAUGUUGAGGUUCUGCAUUUUAGAAAGUCAAUGGCGAAAGGACAAACUGAGCACUCGCAAAAUUUUAGGAAUGGAGCUACACACUCGCUUCAAAAAUCAUUCAGGUAUAUUUUGUAAUGCAACCUUUAUUCCAUUUAUUUCUAUAUUAAUUUACCUUCUAUCUGCAGACAGCCAUUGAGAAUUUUGGGAAUUGUCUUGUUCAUGCAUCUUAUUAAAGAAGUAUAUAGUUUUUUCACACAUGUGGCAUAAGCCAAAUGGAAGUUUACGACCAAGAAAAUAUAGAAAAAAUGUCGUACAAAAAUUGAGCUUCUCUCAAAAUCUGAUCCUAAUAGCCGCCCAGCAGACGUACGACAUACAUUCCACUCUAAUGAAAGCCGCAAUUUGUGUGAGUAACAGAGAAAAUAUAUGGCCUUUAAUUUUUUAUGAAAAAAAAAAUACGAGAGUGGGAAAGCCAUGGGCUUGUGCCUCGGGGGCAAACAGCAAAGCGAAAACAAUUUAAGUGUCCCUCGGUUGCCACGCUAAACGCCUUCAAUUUAACGCCAGACACACGUCACAGGCCACAGUACGAUGAGGAGAGUCAUGCAGAGAGGGGGUGUGCGAGAGAGUGGGCCAGAUACUGUGGCAUUGUGAAGUGGAGAUGUUGGGUGGAGGGGGAAAAGAAGCUUGAGUGUGUGAACUUUGGUGCAAGCGCAGUGCGUAUUUUGACCAUCCCGAUGCCUCUUUAAAAAUCUCUGCUCUGGCAUGUGAAUGGCAACCAAAAGUAUUCUACAGCAAAAAUCACUUGAGAGGUGAAAAAGAAAGACUCCCUUCCUACCUAUCGAAAUGGAAUUCGGCAACUCAACAUAAACGUUGAUGAGGUGUAAGGCGAAGGUCCUACUCCAACUGCAACAGCAACUGCAGCAGUAGAAAAUCGAAGAAAACUAAAUUGAAGAAAAACAUCGAACUUUUGCCCCAUUUCCUAAGACAGACUUUUCAGUCUUUCAAAAGAGCCAAAGCAGAAUAGAAUAUAGAAUAUUGAGUACUUAGCUUUCUUUAUGCAUAUGUUGAAUUACAGAACUUUGCAAAUGCGACCCAUAUAUGAACAAAGAUUUAUCAGAGAUGAAAUAAUUUAUAUCAUAAUUAUACACAUUUCCGUCAAAUUUACAUCAACAGCCAGGUGUUCAAAUAGACACAGAGAUUUAUAGUAGCUAUGAAAUAUUUCAUACAUUUUAUUACUUUAUGCCUCAAUAAUUUCCAAAAUUAAAUUUUCUUCAGGUAAAUAUUUUCAAAAAGAAAAUGUCUUACCAUCUGUACACACACAUUUAUGUGGAGAUGCUGUGCUCACUGAAAGUGUGCACUGCAAUUAUGAUAACAUAUGUGCCCUUGCCACAGUUUGCGGGAUAUACCAGACUGUAGACAUGCUCUCCACCCUCUGGGCCUGCAACACAAAAGCAGUUUAUAGUUUUUUAUGCAAUAUGUUCUCAACAGUCUUGUUUCAGGUUUUUGUGGCAUGUUGCAGCUUCUGCUGCUGUUGGUGAAAGUGCAUUUGCUGCAGAGGCUCUUUAAAAGUUUCGUGUGUUUUUAUUUUCUCACUACAUUUUGUGUGGCAGCAGAAGCGCAGAAGAAGUUGUAGAUUGUAAAGAACAGCAGCAGUUCGUACUGCAUUGUGGCAUGGUUUUAUUUGACAGCCUGUGGUGAUGGUUAUUCUGUGUGAAAUGAAACAACUCUAUUAAGUGAGGUUUUGGUCCCCUCACCUAAAUAGAAUAUUUACUCUUAGAGUACCGAGUAUUAAGACAUAUAACUCUUAAUCAUCUUUGUGCCCUCUAAUGCUCUAAUGCAAUUUCAGCUCUUAAGACGAUCUCAAACCUCGUUCACUUCAAACAUUUGUCCCCAUAAUUUACGUUACAUCAACAAUUCAUUCAAAUUAACAGCAAUAAAAGAGAACGGUGGAACGCGUCACAAGUUUUAUACACACAAAGUUUAAUGUAAUUUUACAUUUUACAUUUUUCUACAUGUCUCAUGUACAUAAUCAAUUACAUCACAAUUUACAUUAAUUCCUUCACACCCUUUUAGCUCGACUUUUUAAAGAAUUGGUAAAGUCUGGUAUUUUCUUGUAACGGAUUUUUUAGAGUUAGCGCUUCUUUAUAUCACAUAACUUAAGUAUCUUACAUCUGGGCAGACAGACUGACAAAUGGUCGGUCAGACAGACAUGGCUAUAUAGACUCGGCUGUUGAUGCUGAUCAAGAAUCUAUAUACUUUAUGGUACUCUUCGAGUAGCGGGUAUAAAAAUGUCUGCAGAAGGUAAGAAACCCAAACACGACGACAAAAAAAUAUAUACGAACGAGAAGGGACGUGUAGACGCUUCGUACGCUUCAGAACUUUUAUACCCGGUACUCAGUCAGUAUAUCUGCACCAAGUGGUUUUUUUCGAAUUUAAGAUGUCACAUUUUCCAUUUAUACCUAAGCAAUGUCACAGGGUUAUUAAUGAUAUAGUUUCGGCAUUUGAAAACAAAAAAUACUGCACUGCUGCAUUUCUUGAUGUUCAACAAGCGUUCGAUCAAGUCUGGCACAAAGGUUUGUUGUACAAGAUUAAGAAAUGGCUACAUGAUCCGUACUAUUCAUUAUUCAAAUCAUAUCUGGCUAAAAGAUGCUUUAACGUGCAGCAGAAAACCGAUACUUUAUCACUACUUCUCAUCAACGCAGGCGUCCCACAAGGAAGCGUGUUGGGACCAAUUCUCUACACCCUAUAUACAGCCGACAUGCCAGUUACAAACAACUGCACUGUUGCAACAUAUGCUGAUGAUACAGCCGUUUUAGCCACAAGCACAUCUAUAAAUGAAGCUUCCGAACUCCUGCAGAGUGAGCUAAGCCUAAUUGAAGACUGGUUCCUUCGAUGGAAAAUUAGAAUCAACUCCCUGAAAUCCGUCCAAAUAACGAUUUCAUUAAGACCGGGUAACUUGAGAUACUUCAGCGUUACCAAUCAAAAACUUUGCGACACAUUGUCAAUUCUCCGUUUUACAUAUCUAAUGCAAAUAUCUACAAAGAUCUUAAUAUUCCAACCAUUAAAGAAGAAAUAAAGAAAACUAGUGAGAAAUACAUCGACAGACUCCACAACCAUGAAAAUAAUUUAGCCUUAAGUCUAUUAGACAAUAGCUUAACAGUAAGAAGACUGAGAAGAUACCACAUUCUCGAUCUCCCCAAUAGAUAAAUCCAAC
This 3789-nucleotide long non-coding RNA is filed under the name Drosophila guanche. The record is from RNAcentral. Lineage: Eukaryota; Metazoa; Arthropoda; Insecta; Diptera; Drosophilidae.